UUUAAUUCGAAGCAACGCGAAGACCUUACAGGUCUUGACAUCCGAUGCUUAUUUCUAGAGAUAGAAGUUACUUCGGUACAUCGGUGACAGGUGGUGCAUGGUUGUCGUCAGCUCGUGUCGUGAGAUGUUGGGUUAAGUCCCGCAACGAGCGCAACCCCUAUUGUUAGUUGCCAUCAUUCAGUUGGGCACUCUAGCGAGACUGCCGGUAAUAAACCGGAGGAAGUGGGGAUGACGUCAAAUCAUCAUGCCCCUUAUGACCUGGGCUACACACGUGCUACAAUGGUUGGUACAACGAGUUGCGAGUCGGUGACGGCGAGCUAAUCUCUUAAAGCCAAUCUCAGUUCGGAUUGUAGGCUGCAACUCGCCUACAUGAAGUCGGAAUCGCUAGUAAUCGCGGAUCAGCACGCCGCGGUCGAAUACGUUCCCGGGCCUU
Molecule: ribosomal RNA, 433 nt
Filed under: uncultured Streptococcus sp.
Lineage: Bacteria; Bacillati; Bacillota; Bacilli; Lactobacillales; Streptococcaceae
Description: bacterial SSU rRNA
Rfam family: Bacterial small subunit ribosomal RNA
Source: RNAcentral